GAUGAACGCUGGCGGUAUGCUUAACACAUGCAAGCCGAACGGACUCUUCGGAGUUGGUGCCGGACGGGUGAGUAACGCGUGAGAAUCUGGCUUUGGGUUCGGGACAACCACUGGGAACGCUGGCUAAUACCGGCUGUGACAAGACGUACAAGCGAAAUUGCCUGGAGAUGAGGUCGCGUCUGAUUAGCUAGCUGGUGAGGUAAAGGCGCAGCAAGGCAGCGAUCAGUAGCUGGUCUGAGAGGAGGACCAGCCACACUGGGACUGAGACACGGCCCAGACUCAUAUGGGAGGAAGGAGUGGGGAAUUUUCCGCAAUGGGCGAAAGUCUGACGGAGCAAUACGGCGUGAGGGAAGCAGGCUGUUGGGUUGUAAAGCUCUUUGCUUAGGGAAGAAUAAAAUGACGGUACCUAAGGAAUCAGCAUCGGCUAACUCCGUG
RNAcentral lists this ribosomal RNA (435 nucleotides) under uncultured bacterium. Its description in RNAcentral is "partial 16S ribosomal RNA". It matches the Rfam family "Bacterial small subunit ribosomal RNA", at positions 28 to 507 of the family's 1533-position model. The record is from RNAcentral.